GUGAGUCAUCGAAUCUUUGAACGCACCUUGCGCUCCUUGGUAUUCCGAGGAGCAUGCCUGUUUGAGUGUCAUUAAAUUCUCAACCUUAUUAGCUUUUGUUAAUAAUGGAUUGGAUGUGGGGGGUUUCUUUUGCUGGCUUCUUCACAGAUAUCAGCUCCCCUUAAAUGCAUUAGCUGGUGCCCCGCGUGGACCAUCUAUUGGUGUGAUAAUUAUCUACGCCGUGGAUGUCUGCAAUCAUAUGGGUUUUGCACUGCUUCUAACCGUCUGUUCAUUCGGACAAUACAUGACAAUUUGACCUCAAAUCAGGUAGGACUACCCGCUGACCGAACUCCUCC
RNAcentral lists this ribosomal RNA (335 nucleotides) under Alnicola sp. OTU-4850. RNAcentral describes it as "eukaryotic LSU rRNA". The stretch from base 1 to 71 matches the Rfam family "5.8S ribosomal RNA", at positions 84 to 154 of the family's 154-position model. Lineage: Eukaryota; Fungi; Basidiomycota; Agaricomycetes; Agaricales; Hymenogastraceae. The record is from RNAcentral.